Pelobates fuscus (common spadefoot toad) is the source of this 311-nucleotide long non-coding RNA. RefSeq lists it as uncharacterized. The record is from RefSeq and is a predicted model, not a curated record. Lineage: Eukaryota; Metazoa; Chordata; Amphibia; Anura; Pelobatidae. The transcript has 2 exons.
AGGUGUGACGGGCCGCCUAGCACCCCGAUCGGGUACCUCUGUCAAUCGCUGCGUCUUAGUAAUCCUUGAGUACCAUAAGCACUGCACCGGACACCAUAAGCACCUUAAACCCCACAAACCACCACAGCUUGAUUGGGGUCUCGCUGUCCUCCACCCACCCUGGACCCAAGACCAGCAUCCAGCUUCCAGUGGGUAGACCUCUCCUAAGCAAGUGAUUAUAAACCCAGGUAGUAUAAGGAGUAUAGCAAUCACCAGAGUGUGAAUAUAGCUCCCAAUCCCCCAAACAUGAGCCUAGACUUCAUGAAGGGUAA